UAAUACGUAGGGUCCAAGCGUUAAUCGGAAUUACUGGGCGUAAAGCGUGCGCAGGCGGUUGUGCAAGACCGAUGUGAAAUCCCCGAGCUUAACUUGGGAAUUGCAUUGGUGACUGCACGGCUAGAGUGUGUCAGAGGGGGGUAGAAUUCCACGUGUAGCAGUGAAAUGCGUAGAGAUGUGGAGGAAUACCGAUGGCGAAGGCAGCCCCCUGGGAUAACACUGACGCUCAUGCACGAAAGCGUGGGGAGCAAACAGGAUUAGAUACCCUGGUAGUCCACGCCCUAAACGAUGUCAACUAGUUGUUGGGGAUUCAUUUCCUUAGUAACGUAGCUAACGCGUGAAGUUGACCGCCUGGGGAGUACGGUCGCAAGAUUAAAACUUAAAUGAAUUGACGG
RNAcentral lists this ribosomal RNA (395 nucleotides) under uncultured bacterium. Its description in RNAcentral is "bacterial SSU rRNA". It matches the Rfam family "Bacterial small subunit ribosomal RNA", at positions 521 to 916 of the family's 1533-position model. The record is from RNAcentral.